RNAcentral lists this long non-coding RNA (611 nucleotides) under Salvia miltiorrhiza (redroot sage). Its description in RNAcentral is "long non-coding RNA (SMIL_LNC013595)". The record is from RNAcentral. Lineage: Eukaryota; Viridiplantae; Streptophyta; Magnoliopsida; Lamiales; Lamiaceae.
GAGGAUUUAAUAAGUCUAAAUACAAGCCCCGACUCAUCACCGGUAAUAAAGGGGUAAGUCAAUAUUGGUUCUCUAGUGGAAUGAACUAAUAUUUAUAAAUUAAUUAUGGUCUGGGCUGACCAUAGAUAAUUAAUUUAUUUGAGGCCCAUCUUUAUUCCUUGUAUUUGGUCCCUGGACUGGCCCAAAGUCUCCUAGCCCAGUAAGAGCUAGAAAACGCCCCAUAACCUAAAUCUGGCGCCUCCCCCUUAAUUCUGUAUUAUAAAAUACAGCUGUCAGCUCUCAGGAAAUACACUGAUAAAAUAUUAGAGUUUGAGAACUGAGAAGGGGCGCAGAAACACGUUUGGGAUUUUAGCUUGGGAUUUCUCACAGUUCGUUGUCCAUCCAACGGUGAGACUUGAGCGGGAUACAGUCUAGAAGAUCAGAACUGGAGUUGUUCGAUACGAUCAUCAAUCAUCUGUGCAUCCGAUUCACAAGUAAGUAAAUCCUAACACCUGUGUGCAGCUGUUAAAUUCAUAGGAGCAUGUUAGGAUUAAUCGUUGUAUGGUAAAUUAAUAAUAACCAAGAAACGAUCAUCGGGCAAAGUGGAACGUUAAUUCAGUUUAAUAUUCCUU